UCCCCGGUGGUCCAGUGGCUAAGAUUCUGUGCUUCCAAUGCAGGAGGCUUGGGUUCAAUCCCUGGUUGGGGAA
Molecule: transfer RNA, 73 nt
Filed under: Ovis aries (sheep)
Lineage: Eukaryota; Metazoa; Chordata; Mammalia; Artiodactyla; Bovidae
Rfam family: tRNA
About the family: Transfer RNA (tRNA) molecules are approximately 80 nucleotides in length. Their secondary structure includes four short double-helical elements and three loops (D, anti-codon, and T loops).
Source: Rfam by way of RNAcentral